GACGUAGGGCGCGAGCGUUGUCCGGAUUUAUUGGGCGUAAAGAGCUCGUAGGCGGUUUGUCGCGUCUGCUGUGAAAACCCGAGGCUCAACCUCGGGCCUGCAGUGGGUACGGGCAGACUAGAGUGUGGUAGGGGAGACUGGAAUUCCUGGUGUAGCGGUGAAAUGCGCAGAUAUCAGGAGGAACACCGGUGGCGAAGGCGGGUCUCUGGGCCGAUACUGACGCUGAGGAGCGAAAGCGUGGGGAGCGAACAGG
RNAcentral lists this ribosomal RNA (253 nucleotides) under uncultured bacterium. Its description in RNAcentral is "partial 16S ribosomal RNA". It matches the Rfam family "Bacterial small subunit ribosomal RNA", at positions 524 to 776 of the family's 1533-position model. The record is from RNAcentral.